GUCAGCUCGUGUCGUGAGAUGUUGGGUUAAGUCCCGCAACGAGCGCAACCCCUACCCUUAAUUGCCAUCAGGUUAAGCUGGGCACUUUAGGGGGACUGCCGGUGACAAGCCGGAGGAAGGUGGGGAUGACGUCAAGUCCUCAUGGCCUUUAUGACCAGGGCUACACACGUGUUACAAUGGGAGUUACAGAGGGAAGCUGAACCGCGAGGUCAUGCCAAUCCCAGAAAAACUUUCUCAGUUCGGAUAGCAGUCUGCAACUCGACUGCUUGAAGCUGGAAUCGCUAGUAAUCGCGGAUCAGCACGCCGCGGUGAAUACGUUCCCGGGCCUUGUACACACCGCCCGUCACACCAUGGGAGCCGACAAGGGCAGAAGUCGCCGAGCGAACCUUCGGGAAGCAGGCGCCCAAGCUGUUGUUGACGACUGGGGUGAAGUCGUAACAAGGUAGCC
RNAcentral lists this ribosomal RNA (448 nucleotides) under uncultured bacterium. Its description in RNAcentral is "bacterial SSU rRNA". It matches the Rfam family "Bacterial small subunit ribosomal RNA", at positions 1054 to 1501 of the family's 1533-position model. The record is from RNAcentral.